Molecule: ribosomal RNA, 1366 nt
Filed under: uncultured beta proteobacterium
Lineage: Bacteria; Pseudomonadati; Pseudomonadota; Betaproteobacteria
Description: bacterial SSU rRNA
Rfam family: Bacterial small subunit ribosomal RNA
Source: RNAcentral
UUGAACGCUGGCGGCAUGCCUUACACAUGCAAGUCGAACGGCAGCACGGGUGCUUGCACCUGGUGGCGAGUGGCGAACGGGUGAGUAAUACAUCGGAACAUGUCCUGUAGUGGGGGAUAGCCCGGCGAAAGCCGGAUUAAUACCGCAUACGAUCUACGGAUGAAAGCGGGGGACCUUCGGGCCUCGCGCUAUAGGGUUGGCCGAUGGCUGAUUAGCUAGUUGGUGGGGUAAAGGCCUACCAAGGCGACGAUCAGUAGCUGGUCUGAGAGGACGACCAGCCACACUGGGACUGAGACACGGCCUAGACUCCUACGGGAGGCAGCAGUGGGGAAUUUUGGACAAUGGGCGAAAGCCUGAUCCAGCAAUGCCGCGUGUGUGAAGAAGGCCUUCGGGUUGUAAAGCACUUUUGUCCGGAAAGAAAUCCUUGGCUCUAAUACAGUCGGGGGAUGACGGUACCGGAAGAAUAAGCACCGGCUAACUACGUGCCAGCAGCCGCGGUAAUACGUAGGGUGCGAGCGUUAAUCGGAAUUACUGGGCGUAAAGCGUGCGCAGGCGGUUUGCUAAGACCGAUGUGAAAUCCCCGGGCUCAACCUGGGAACUGCAUUGGUGACUGGCAGGCUAGAGUAUGGCAGAGGGGGGUAGAAUUCCACGUGUAGCAGUGAAAUGCGUAGAGAUGUGGAGGAAUACCGAUGGCGAAGGCAGCCCCCUGGGCCAAUACUGACGCUCAUGCACGAAAGCGUGGGGAGCAAACAGGAUUAGAUACCCUGGUAGUCCACGCCCUAAACGAUGUCAACUAGUUGUUGGGGAUUCAUUUCCUUAGUAACGUAGCUAACGCGUGAAGUUGACCGCCUGGGGAGUACGGUCGCAAGAUUAAAACUCAAAGGAAUUGACGGGGACCCGCACAAGCGGUGGAUGAUGUGGAUUAAUUCGAUGCAACGCGAAAAACCUUACCUACCCUUGACAUGGUCGGAAUCCCGCUGAGAGGUGGGAGUGCUCGAAAGAGAACCGGCGCACAGGUGCUGCAUGGCUGUCGUCAGCUCGUGUCGUGAGAUGUUGGGUUAAGUCCCGCAACGAGCGCAACCCUUGUCCUUAGUUGCUACGCAAGAGCACUCUAAGGAGACUGCCGGUGACAAACCGGAGGAAGGUGGGGAUGACGUCAAGUCCUCAUGGCCCUUAUGGGUAGGGCUUCACACGUCAUACAAUGGUCGGAACAGAGGGUUGCCAACCCGCGAGGGGGAGCUAAUCCCAGAAAACCGAUCGUAGUCCGGAUUGCACUCUGCAACUCGAGUGCAUGAAGCUGGAAUCGCUAGUAAUCGCGGAUCAGCAUGCCGCGGUGAAUACGUUCCCGGGUCUUGUACACACCGCC